RNA transcript from Triticum dicoccoides, 1573 nucleotides. RefSeq lists it as uncharacterized. The record is from RefSeq and is a predicted model, not a curated record. NCBI's taxonomy places the organism in Eukaryota, Viridiplantae, Streptophyta, Magnoliopsida, Poales, Poaceae. The transcript has 3 exons.
GCGAGGUGGGACUAAUCCAUCACCCCCUUCCUUCUUCUUUCGUACUGUACUAGGCCGCCAUGGAUUUCCUUCCUGGGCUCCCACGGCCCACCUCAAAAAUCCCCUCUCAGUCAACUCCGCCGCCGUUUUCCCUCAAAAAAAAAAAGUCAACUCCGCCGCCACCUCCUCCCUGCUUCGUCGGCUGCAGCGUCGCCCUCCUCCUCCGCCUGGCCCGGACGACAGCCGCCGGCCCGAGGGUUGCGCACUUCUUCGGCACACACACCGCCGACGGCUUCGCCAAGUAUGCAGAUGUGGCUUGAUCAUGUGGAAGCAUGUGACCAGGAAGGAUUGCAUCUGAAUAAAUUCACACGACAGCAACUGUAUUAAUCAGCUGUUUGUGCUUGUGGAGCUGGUGUCCCCAAUUUUGGAAAGUAUGUACUUAUUAUUUCCAUUCAUAAACUUGCAAUCCUAAAUUUCCAGGUGGGACCAUUAUAAUAGAAAUAUUGUUGUUUCCUUGAUAAUCCAUGUUUGUUGUUGUUCUAUAGCCAAUGAAUGAUAAGAUCAAGCAAGCUAUGGUUGGAUCACUAUCUGGAAUUGUUUUCUCGACACGACUGAAUUUGUUUAUUUUAUUUUCCAAGUGUUCAUUAUUAUCGCACUAAAUACCAGGAAAACACACACCAAAUAACCCAUGUUAACUUGAUUGCUUUUUCAGCUGUACUAUGCUCGUGAAUGACUACACAGUUGAGUUAUAUCUGAUUGCCUUUUAUGUUUGUCACUAUGUUAUUUGCGCCUAUUCAACACUGGAUGUGGUAUAAAAUACAAAUAGGCACAUAUCCAUGGAUGAACUGCUGGAAACUUAGAACCUUAUUUUCCUUUUCUUUGUAUAGUAAUUUUGUAAUAGCAGAAGUCUUGCUUGCUCGUUCAGAAGAGUAAAACACCAAUUUGUCAAAAUAUAUUCCACCUUAACCUGUCGAAGGCAUACCAUCCUGUCGCAAUAAUGUUUCAGCUUUUAAUACGUCCAAGGCACUGUCUAGACUAUGAACACUUUCCUUUCCGGGACUGCUUAGAAUAAGGAAAAUGUUUGUACGCGGGACUGCGGGACGUUGAUCGUAGGAAAUCGUAUGGCAGGAGCACUUGCUGGCCCCACCUUAUCUCUUUGUUGUCCCCUCCCUUAGAGAAAGUCUUAACCAAGCAUUGCUUAAAAAGAGAAAUAACUGCAACCAUUGAUAGAAAAGCUUCGAUCGUAAUUGAGAAAAGCUCCAACCAUUAAUAGAGAAAACUACAACCAGACACUGUGCAAUCAGAAAAGUUGCAACCGUGAUAGAGAAUGUUUCAAUCAUAUGUGUGGAAAGUUUCAACCGGCGAGGGGAAAAGCUACGACUGGCAACGAGGCAAAACUUUUUGCUGCAACCGUAUCGUUGUUUUGCUACUACCGGUGACUUUUCUCGCCUAAUCCAUGGGAGCAGAGCUGUGCCCCGCGAUGACGGCGACAUUUUUUGUUUUGCUGCAACUGUCGAUGUUUUUUGCUACUAUAGACGAUGUAUUUUGCUACAUCCAUUCAAUGUUGUUUUUUACUUGUGGUUGUCGACCGCGC